RNAcentral lists this small RNA (971 nucleotides) under Pongo abelii (Sumatran orangutan). Its description in RNAcentral is "retained intron". Lineage: Eukaryota; Metazoa; Chordata; Mammalia; Primates; Hominidae. The record is from RNAcentral.
GGCUGAUCAUCGUCCAUAGAGGCCACCGUACCCGACGUUGCGGACAGUAACAAAGAGUCAAGCUUGGUGGAGGUGGAGCCUGAGGACACGACUGAAUGACGAUUGAACUGAGAGUUCAGGGGCGGGGUUUGAGGGCGAACUCGGGACAGAGACUGGACAGAGUUCAGGGAGGCGGGGCCUAAUGAUGGAGCAGGGAGGGGAUUGGGCUGAGGGCGGUACCUGCACGAGGAUUGGGCCGAGCGCCUCGGGGGCGGUCCUUGAGGGGGCGGUGCUGUGUCGGAAGUCAAAGGUCAGUAAAUAGUGGUGAUGUCAUGCAGGCAAGAUGGCGGAAGGGUGAGCCUGUCGUUUUGCUCCUAGGUGUUGAGGCCUGAAUUCUCCCAGGGUUGGGGUGCUGGUGGGGAACAUGAGAUCAGCGGGGGCGUGGACUGAUCUGAAAGGGCAGAGUGGAGUCACGUUGUGAGGGGGUGGGCAAGCGGUCUGCGAAGCCUCGGCCCGCAGGGUACAUCCGAGGGGGAAACAAACCGGAUCUUUGGGGCGGGCAGGGAUCGCACCGCGGUGCUGCCAGAUGUGUCUGUCUUCCACAGGGAGGACGUGGGAUGGUGGCGGAGCUGGCUGCAGCAGAGCUACCAAGCAGUCAAAGAGAAGUCCUCUGAAGCCUUGGAGUUUAUGAAGCGGGACCUGACAGAGUUUACCCAGGUGGUGCAGCAUGACACGGCCUGUACCAUCGCAGCCACGGCCAGCGUGGUCAAGGAGAAGCUGGUUACAAAACCAUCGACUGCGAUGUCAUCACCCUGAUGGGCACACCGUCUGGCACAGCUGAGCCCUAUGAUGGCACCAAGGCUCGCCUCUAUAGCCUGCAGUCAGACCCAGCAACCUACUGCAAUGAACCAGAUGGGCCCCCGGAAUUGUUUGAUGCCUGGCUUUCCCAGUUCUGCUUGGAGGAGAAGAAGGGGGAGAUCUCAGAGCUACUU